This 99-nucleotide small nuclear RNA is filed under the name Mustela putorius furo (domestic ferret). The record is from RNAcentral. Lineage: Eukaryota; Metazoa; Chordata; Mammalia; Carnivora; Mustelidae.
GUGCUUGCUUUGGAAGCAUGUAUACUAAAACUGGAACAAUACAGAGAUUAACAGAGACUCUGCAAGCAGGCCAUGCAAAUUCAUGAAAAACAAAUUCAU